This 253-nucleotide ribosomal RNA is filed under the name uncultured bacterium. Its description in RNAcentral is "partial 16S ribosomal RNA". It matches the Rfam family "Bacterial small subunit ribosomal RNA", at positions 524 to 776 of the family's 1533-position model. The record is from RNAcentral.
UACAGAGGGUGCAAGCGUUAAUCGGAAUUACUGGGCGUAAAGCGUGCGUAGACGGUUAUUUAAGUCAGGUGUGAAAGCCCCGGGCUCAACCUGGGAAUUGCAUUUGAGACUGAAUAGCUAGGGUGCGGAAGAGGGAAGCGGAAUUUCCGGUGUAGCGGUGAAAUGCGUAGAUAUCGGAAGGAACACCAGUGGCGAAAGCGGCUUCCUGGUCCAGCACCGACGUUCAGGCACGAAAGCGUGGGGAGCAACCAGG